RNAcentral lists this ribosomal RNA (476 nucleotides) under Streptococcus parasanguinis. RNAcentral describes it as "bacterial SSU rRNA". It matches the Rfam family "Bacterial small subunit ribosomal RNA", at positions 28 to 487 of the family's 1533-position model. Lineage: Bacteria; Bacillati; Bacillota; Bacilli; Lactobacillales; Streptococcaceae. The record is from RNAcentral.
GAUGAACGCUGGCGGCGUGCCUAAUACAUGCAAGUAGAACGCUGAAGCUUGGUGCUUGCACCGAGCGGAUGAGUUGCGAACGGGUGAGUAACGCGUAGGUAACCUGCCUCUUAGCGGGGGAUAACUAUUGGAAACGAUAGCUAAUACCGCAUAAAAGACGAUAUCGCAUGAUAUUGAUUUGAAAGGUGCAAAUGCAUCACUAAGAGAUGGACCUGCGUUGUAUUAGCUAGUUGGUGAGGUAACGGCUCACCAAGGCAACGAUACAUAGCCGACCUGAGAGGGUGAUCGGCCACAUUGGGACUGAGACACGGCCCAGACUCCUACGGGAGGCAGCAGUAGGGAAUCUUCGGCAAUGGGGGCAACCCUGACCGAGCAACGCCGCGUGAGUGAAGAAGGUUUUCGGAUCGUAAAGCUCUGUUGUAAGAGAAGAACGAGUGUGAGAGUGGAAAGUUCACACUGUGACGGUAACUACCAGA